This 484-nucleotide ribosomal RNA is filed under the name uncultured bacterium. Its description in RNAcentral is "partial 16S ribosomal RNA". It matches the Rfam family "Bacterial small subunit ribosomal RNA", at positions 30 to 507 of the family's 1533-position model. The record is from RNAcentral.
AUUGAACGCUGGCGGCAGGCCUAACACAUGCAAGUCGAGCGGAUGAAGGGAGCUUGCUCCUGGAUUCAGCGGCGGACGGGUGAGUAAUGCCUAGGAAUCUGCCUGGUAGUGGGGGAUAACGUCCGGAAACGGGCGCUAAUACCGCAUACGUCCUGAGGGAGAAAGUGGGGGAUCUUCGGACCUCACGCUAUCAGAUGAGCCUAGGUCGGAUUAGCUAGUUGGUGGGGUAAAGGCCUACCAAGGCGACGAUCCGUAACUGGUCUGAGAGGAUGAUCAGUCACACUGGAACUGAGACACGGUCCAGACUCCUACGGGAGGCAGCAGUGGGGAAUAUUGGACAAUGGGCGAAAGCCUGAUCCAGCAACGCCGCGUGUGUGAAGAAGGUCUUCGGAUUGUAAAGCACUUUAAGUUGGGAGGAAGAGCAGUAAGUUAAUACCUUGCUGUUUUGACGUUACCAACAGAAUAAGCACCGGCUAACUUCGUG